UGGGGAAUAUUGCACAAUGGGCGCAAGGCUGAUGCAGCCAUGCCGGGUGUGUGAAGAAGGCCUUCGGGUUGUAAAGCACCUUCAGCGGGGAGGAAGGCGUUAAGGUUAAUAACCUUGGCGAUUGACGUUACCCGCAGAAGAAGCACCGGCUAACUCCGUGCCAGCCGCCGCGGUAAUAAGGAGGGUGCAAGCGUUAAUCGGAAUUACUGGGCGUAAAGCGGACGCAGGCGGUCUGUCAGGUCGGAUGUGAAAUCCCCGGGCUCAACCUGGGAACUGCUUUAGAAACUGGCAGGCUGGAGUCUUGUAGGGGGGGGUAGAAUUCCAGGUGUAGCGGUGAAAUGCGUAGUGUACUGGGGGAAUACCGGUGGCGAAGGCGGCCCCCUGGACGAAGACUGCCGCUCAGGUGCGAAAGCGUGGGGAGCAAAAAGG
Molecule: ribosomal RNA, 429 nt
Filed under: Chloroflexota bacterium
Lineage: Bacteria; Bacillati; Chloroflexota
Description: Chloroflexi bacterium partial 16S ribosomal RNA
Rfam family: Bacterial small subunit ribosomal RNA
Source: RNAcentral